AAGUAUCGCAAAUCACAUUUCAUACCUUUACAUUUUUGGUACUAUAUUUAGUAUAAAUACGAUGUGAAGAAAAUCAAACAGAACUGGUCUUCAUGAAUACUUUUUGAAUUUAACCGAAACUGAAAAUUUUGAAAACCAAAGAUAUGAAGUGCGGAUCAAAAUAUAAUUGGGCAAUGGCAAUGGUCUUACGUCUGCAAUGUUGUUUGUUUGUCAAAAUCAUAUUAUGUACAUUAAUCUUCACAUUUAUCAUUCAAUGAUAUAUUUAUAUGUUAUAGCUUUUUAUUUUUGCUCAUCAUAUGGAACACGAGCAUUUAAACACUAUCCAUAAUCUUUUUUACUCGAAUAACCGGAAAUAUUAAGAAAGUGAAAGGAAAAUGGUGAACAAAAGUACUGCUUCUGUUAUAAGAAACACUCUCAUAUAAGACUUUUAUUCUGCCACACCAGCCAGUUAGGAUUUCAAAAUGAAAGGAGAAUACAUUGGCCAAAGUGAAUGGAUCUACAGCAAAAGAAAACCUUGGAUGGCACAGGGAUUGGAUAUUCUUGAAAGCGACGACCAGUAAAACGUUCUUUUUGCUUAGUAUUCGAGAAGCCUGGCUGAGUUUCAAACUUUCAUGAAUGACCAUGACUGGACGUGGUAAUGGAAUGGGAGUUGAUUAUUAUCUGGAAAAACUUCGGUGCGUUUCGGGCUGUCUGGUGUACCGCCUUCUGUUGCCAAAACCGCAGCGCUAGUGUGGGUGUGACAGGAUAAGCUGCCUAACGCUGUGGAUUAUCGCAAGGAAUACUUCAGUUCGCCAUACUGUUGAGUCUCUAGCAUCCACGACCAGGUAUUUCCACCGAAAAUUGCCGCUUUUGGAGGGUUACUCAUUCUAUCCCAUCAAACGAACUAUUUGUGAGAUUCGACGGGUCUUUUACAAGACAGUCUUCAGGACGAUAGAAAACAAUGAACAGGAGGUGCUAUUGCGAUCAAUAUAACUGCCCCGAAAUUCACCAAAUAUUUAUUUCUGUUCUUGAAAACAUUUCCGCGACGAUGAAAUAAAAAUUCCAUGUAUCAAACGGUCACCAGAUCCAAUUACCUUAACAUAUCUCUGUUGAGCGUUAGUUUGGUAAAGCUAAUAAGGAUUAUGCAGUUAAUGCAGCCCAUAGUUUGGGUAUGAAAAUGUGCUUCAAUUGUUGCCCGACUAUGAAAAAUAUGCUUCAACUGAUGCCCGAUUAUGCUCAAACCAAAGACUUAAGACAAUAGUGAAACAGUGAAAAUAAGAAAAGAUAUAGUUUUUGCACUGCUUAUGUUGUACAUUAAUUGCGGCUAAUCCAACGUGAUAAUAAGUUCUUUUUAUAAUUCUUAAGUCGUUAAGUUUGAUUAUACGUGUUUUAUUGUUAUGGCAUUGAAUAUUACAUAAUAUGAAUUUUAUGAGAUUUCAAAUAAUAGCUGCAGAUAUUUCAGUUGCUUUUUUGAAUGAUUGCAACUACAACUGUAUUCUUGUAAUUUCAUAUUUUUAUGUGUAUAAUAAAAGAUGUGCUUUCCAUAA
This is a long non-coding RNA of Lingula anatina, 1526 nucleotides long. The record is from RefSeq and is a predicted model, not a curated record. Lineage: Eukaryota; Metazoa; Brachiopoda; Lingulata; Lingulida; Lingulidae.